This is a long non-coding RNA of Solanum pennellii, 441 nucleotides long. RefSeq lists it as uncharacterized. The transcript has 2 exons. The record is from RefSeq and is a predicted model, not a curated record. Lineage: Eukaryota; Viridiplantae; Streptophyta; Magnoliopsida; Solanales; Solanaceae.
CUCCUUCAACAAUGCACAAUUUAUCUUGCAGAUUUCUAAUUGCUUGUCUACGAUGGAGGUUUAACAACUUCACAUCUCCUUCUUUCAUGAGAUUAAUUCAAAAAGAAUUCUAUUUAAAAAUAAAGUGGCAUCAAUUGGAUCAAAAUCGAUUACCUACAGAUUGUUGGCAAACACAUGAGUCGGGCAAGUUGGAGAUCACAAUUAAGACUGCAUCCUGGCUAACCUUCAAUUUAAUUCAUUGCAUUGUGUUAAUAUGUAAAUAGAACAUUUGUAGAAAUCUUUAAAUCUCUGGAUCUAACUUUCAAUACAUUGUUCACUUUUCAAUUAGUAUAUGUUUUUCUUAAAUAAAACAGACUCUAAAGAGUCAUUUGGUGUGAGUAUAAUGUAUAAUAAUUUCAGGACAAAAUGUUUGAAUUAUUUUAUUUUAUGUUUAGUUGGGGA